AAGGACUGGUUCACACAUGGCAUUUCAUCACUAGAUGGCUGCAACAUCACUUGAUGGUUUGCAUGUUCCAUCCCCAGAUAAAUUCAGCACAGACCAAACUGCUUAACAUGCAAGUAUGCACCGAGGCCAUCGUAAUUCUGAUUCCAGUUACUGCAAGAGGAGUGUGCCGUUAAUAUGCUAAUCUUUUCCGGUAAGUGGGUAUUUCAAUUAAUUAAAAUAUUAAAUAAAGACUGGGGAAACAGGUCAUUGACCCAUGAUGGGCAUGAUGACCUGUCAUCAUCCUAUGCUGAAUUUUCAGUUUUCAGGAUAGGUAUCGUAUCUGACAUAACAUCUGUUUUGCAGCAGCUGCAUUCCCAGUUUAUGUCCCCUGUUAUGGCUCCUGCCAACCUAGCAGUUUGAAAGCACGUCAAAGUGCAAGUAGAUAAAUAGGUACCGCUCCGGCGGGAAGGUAAAUGGCAUUUCCGUGUGCUGCUCUGGUUCGCCAGAAGCGGCUUAGUCAUGCUGGCCACAUGACCUGGAAGCUGUGACGCCGGCUCCCUCGGCCAAUAAAGCGAGAUGAGCGCUGCAACCCCAGAGUCUGCCACUGGACCUAAUGGUCAGGGGUCCCUUUACCUUUACCUAUGGCUCAGAGGCUUCUAGGAGCAGCAGGUGAGCACCUCUGGUCUGGUUCCAUCUUGGUUCAAGUGGAGCUCAUCCCUUUUGGACAGCCCCAGCUUGUCCUAAAGGACUGCUCAGUGUCCAGCAAAUCCCAAAUACCACUCAUGCAGUGAUUUAAGUCUCAGUGAAUUAAUGACAAAGGUAAUCAUAGCAAUGUCAUUUCCUGAUGAUGUGGACAAGGUGUGGGGAAUAAGAAUCACAUAUCAAGGUUUCUACACUUUUCACCCAGACUCUCACAUGAGAAUGAGGAAAUCCCAGCGUGUGGAAUAAUGCAAAUGCUUUUGAAACACACUCAUUCUGCAUUGCAUAAGGGACCUUCCUUGGAAGUUUGCUGUGAGGUGAGAGAUCUGUUAUUUGGGGAUGGCUCUUUCCACCUGCCUUGCC
This 1041-nucleotide long non-coding RNA is filed under the name Podarcis lilfordi (Lilford's wall lizard). Lineage: Eukaryota; Metazoa; Chordata; Lepidosauria; Squamata; Lacertidae. The record is from RNAcentral.